GUCCAACUAACUUGUCCCAAACAGAACGAAACGCGUGUCCUGGAU
This 45-nucleotide non-coding RNA is filed under the name Schistosoma mattheei. Lineage: Eukaryota; Metazoa; Platyhelminthes; Trematoda; Strigeidida; Schistosomatidae. The record is from RNAcentral.